UCUCCGUAGGUGAACCUGCGGAGGGAUCAUUACAGAGUUAUCUAACUCCCAAAACCAUGUGAACUUACCACUGUUGCCUCGGUGGAGCCUACCCUGUAGCUACCCUGUAGGGUGGUUACCCUGUUGCGCCCCGCCGGUGGAUUUUCAAACUCUUGUUAUUUUUAGUAAUCUGAGCGUCUUAUUUUAAAUAAGUCAAAACUUUCAACAACGGAUCUCUUGGUUCUGGCAUCGAUGAAGAACGCAGC
This 245-nucleotide unclassified non-coding RNA is filed under the name uncultured fungus. RNAcentral's name for it is "sequence contains ITS1, 5.8S rRNA gene". The stretch from base 197 to 245 matches the Rfam family "5.8S ribosomal RNA", at positions 1 to 49 of the family's 154-position model. Lineage: Eukaryota; Fungi. The record is from RNAcentral.